Molecule: ribosomal RNA, 497 nt
Filed under: uncultured bacterium
Lineage: Bacteria
Description: partial 16S ribosomal RNA
Rfam family: Bacterial small subunit ribosomal RNA
Source: RNAcentral
GAUGAACGCUGGCGGCGUGCCUAAUACAUGCAAGUCGAGCGAACAGACGAGGAGCUUGCUCCUCUGACGUUAGCGGCGGACGGGUGAGUAACACGUGGAUAACCUACCUAUAAGACUGGGGUAACUUCGGGAAACCGGAGCUAAUACCGGAUAAUAUAUUGAACCGCAUGGUUCAAUAGUGAAAGACGGUUUUGCUGUCACUUAUAGAUGGAUCCGCGCCGCAUUAGCUAGUUGGUAAGGUAACGGCUUACCAAGGCGACGAUGCGUAGCCGACCUGAGAGGGUGAUCGGCCACACUGGAACUGAGACACGGUCCAGACUCCUACGGGAGGCAGCAGUAGGGAAUCUUCCGCAAUGGGCGAAAGCCUGACGGAGCAACGCCGCGUGAGUGAUGAAGGUCUCCGGAUCGUAAAACUCUGUUAUUAGGGAAGAACAAAUGUGUAAGUAACUAUGCACGUCUUGACGGUACCUAAUCAGAAAGCCACGGCUAACUACGUG